GCCGGGCGCGGUGGCUCAAGCCUGUAAUCCCAGCACUUUGGGAGGCCGAGACGGGCGGAUCACGAGGUCAGGAGAUCAAGACCAUCCUGGCUAACCUGGUGAAACCCCGUCUCUACUAAAAAANNNNNNNNNNAGACGGGGUUUCACCAGGUUAGCCAGGAUGGUCUUGAUCUCCUGACCUCGUGAUCCGCCCGUCUCGG
This 200-nucleotide signal recognition particle RNA is filed under the name Chlorocebus sabaeus (green monkey). RNAcentral describes it as "Metazoan signal recognition particle RNA". It matches the Rfam family "Metazoan signal recognition particle RNA". From Rfam's summary of the family: The signal recognition particle (SRP) is a universally conserved ribonucleoprotein. It is involved in the co-translational targeting of proteins to membranes. The record is from Rfam by way of RNAcentral. Lineage: Eukaryota; Metazoa; Chordata; Mammalia; Primates; Cercopithecidae.